GGGCCCGUGGCCUAGCCAGGACAUGGCGCCGGCCUUCUAAGCCGGUGAUCCCGGGUUCAAAUCCCGGCGGGCCCGCCA
This 78-nucleotide transfer RNA is filed under the name Methanobacteriota archaeon. RNAcentral's name for it is "Euryarchaeota archaeon (marine metagenome) tRNA-Arg". It matches the Rfam family "tRNA". Rfam says of the family: Transfer RNA (tRNA) molecules are approximately 80 nucleotides in length. Their secondary structure includes four short double-helical elements and three loops (D, anti-codon, and T loops). RNAcentral also lists the same sequence under 1 other name. The record is from RNAcentral. Lineage: Archaea; Methanobacteriati; Methanobacteriota.